This 253-nucleotide ribosomal RNA is filed under the name uncultured bacterium. Its description in RNAcentral is "partial 16S ribosomal RNA". It matches the Rfam family "Bacterial small subunit ribosomal RNA", at positions 524 to 776 of the family's 1533-position model. The record is from RNAcentral.
UACAGAGGUCUCAAGCGUUGUUCGGAUUCAUUGGGCGUAAAGGGUGCGUAGGCGGCGCGGUAAGUCGGGUGUGAAAUCUCGGAGCUUAACUCCGAAACUUCAUUCGAUACUGCCGUGCUUGAGGACUGGAGAGGAGACUGGAAUUUACGGUGUAGCGGUGAAAUGCGUAGAUAUCGUAAGGAAGACCAGUGGCGAAGGCGGGUCUCUGGACAGUUCCUGACGCUGAGGCACGAAGGUCAGGGGAGCAAACGGG